This 306-nucleotide ribosomal RNA is filed under the name Triticum aestivum (bread wheat). RNAcentral's name for it is "partial small subunit ribosomal RNA". The record is from RNAcentral. Lineage: Eukaryota; Viridiplantae; Streptophyta; Magnoliopsida; Poales; Poaceae.
AUGAUAAAGGAGGAGCGUGAGGAGUUUUCCCGUAAGAUGGCGAAGAUGCGUCUUGAGAUUGAAGAAAAGUAUAAGCGGGACUGUGAGGACAUGGAAAAAAGUUUUUCCUUGGCUACAAGGAAAUGCAUCAAACGUUGCAGAAGGACCGGAAGCUUGUGGACAGUAUUAUACAGACAGAGCGAGUCAGGAUGGAUGCCUAUGUGUUGCAGGCACGUUCGGAUAUGGACAGUAAGCUGCUACAGGAGCGGUCGGACAUGGAUUAUAAGGCCAUGCUGGAGAAGGUCCGUUUGGAAGGACAUAUGUUAG